GGGUCUAUAGCACAAUUGGUUAGUGCGGCGAGCUCAUAACUCGAAGGUUCUAGGUUCAAGUCCUAGUAGACCCA
This 74-nucleotide transfer RNA is filed under the name Anaerolineae bacterium. Its description in RNAcentral is "tRNA-Ile". It matches the Rfam family "tRNA". From Rfam's summary of the family: Transfer RNA (tRNA) molecules are approximately 80 nucleotides in length. Their secondary structure includes four short double-helical elements and three loops (D, anti-codon, and T loops). Further hydrogen bonds mediate the characteristic L-shaped molecular structure. tRNAs have two regions of fundamental functional importance: the anti-codon, which is responsible for specific mRNA codon recognition, and the 3' end, to which the tRNAs corresponding amino acid is attached (by aminoacyl-tRNA synthetases). tRNAs cope with the degeneracy of the genetic code in two manners: having more than one tRNA (with a specific anti-codon) for a particular amino acid; and 'wobble' base-pairing, i.e. permitting non-standard base-pairing at the 3rd anti-codon position. The record is from RNAcentral. Lineage: Bacteria; Bacillati; Chloroflexota; Anaerolineae.